Molecule: long non-coding RNA, 996 nt
Filed under: Homo sapiens (human)
Lineage: Eukaryota; Metazoa; Chordata; Mammalia; Primates; Hominidae
Description: HSALNT0191796
Source: RNAcentral
GCCAAGGCAAUCACUGGAAGGCACACUGCCCCAGAGAACAAAGGCCCUCUGGGCCAGAAGUGCCCAACCAGAUGAUUCAGCAACAGGACCGAGGGUGCCCGGGGCAAGCGCCAACUCAUGCCAUCACCCUCACAGAUCCCUGGGUUCCAGGCCAUCAAGCUACAAAUGGUCUUACAAAUGGAACCUCAAGUGAGCUCAACUCACGGCUUCUAUCGAGGACUCCUGGAUCAACCUGCUGGUCCCUCGACUAGCCAAAAAAUUCCCCUCUGGAGGACACCACAACUGCAGGGCCCCUUCUUUGCCCCUAAUCAGCAAAAAGUAGCCAGAAUGACCGCUGCCCAGUUCCCAACAGCAGUUGGGGUGUCCUGUCUAGAGCGAGGACUGAGAGGAGGGACCAGCCGGGCUUCCUGGGUCCUGCAGGGGCUCAGAAAGUUGUGAAACUCAUUCAUUUCCUGCAUCAGGACUUCCUUCUGUCCUGGAUGAAUAAUAUUGAAAACAUAUGCUUAAAAUAUUCCUAACACCAGGAUUUGUACAUGUGUUUUCUUCCCCCAAGAAAGCUAUAAACAGUGAAAAUUUUGCUAUAAGCUUCCCUGUGUCCUCUCUCCCUGUCUCCCUUCCCUCUCCCCUGAAACUAAAAGGAAUGUUAACUGACCAUUUCUCUGUGACCAGUGGACCUCAUCUAUGCUCCCAAUUCCAAUUCCUUGUAAACAUACUUUGUAAAGUCCUGUAAAUUCCCGUCUCCUUUGUCAUGCCACUGCAAGGUCAUAAAGUAGAUAAAACCUAAGUUACAAUUCCGAUAUUCCUCAAAAUCUAAGACAUGUCACAAAAUAAUUUACUGCCUUUGUUUCUUGCUCUGGUAACAUCUUCCCUCUGCACGUAUUUCCUGCCUUAAAGAGUUUAAAAGGCAACUGCAUAAUCUAACUCUGGCUACCCGCUGGGGACCCCUUCCAUGCUGUGGAAGCUUUGUACUGUCACUCUGCUCAAUAAAGCCUGCAG